RNAcentral lists this transfer RNA (71 nucleotides) under Loxodonta africana (African savanna elephant). It matches the Rfam family "tRNA". Rfam says of the family: Transfer RNA (tRNA) molecules are approximately 80 nucleotides in length. Their secondary structure includes four short double-helical elements and three loops (D, anti-codon, and T loops). The record is from Rfam by way of RNAcentral. Lineage: Eukaryota; Metazoa; Chordata; Mammalia; Proboscidea; Elephantidae.
GCAGUGGUGACUCAGUGGUGGAAUUCUUGCCUUCCAUGCGGGAGAGCUGGGUUCAAGUCCUGACCAAUGCA